GACCCCCUUUUCACUUUGCCAGUUGGACUUAUGUCAUUACUGGUCAUUCAGGUGGGCAAAGAAAAUGCAAUUUAAAAACCCAUGCAAACUAGUUGUUGGUCUAGUGUGCUGUUGAAACAAAU
This is a small nucleolar RNA of Saimiri boliviensis boliviensis (Bolivian squirrel monkey), 122 nucleotides long. Lineage: Eukaryota; Metazoa; Chordata; Mammalia; Primates; Cebidae. The record is from Ensembl.